Molecule: small RNA, 33 nt
Filed under: Plasmodium falciparum 3D7
Lineage: Eukaryota; Apicomplexa; Aconoidasida; Haemosporida; Plasmodiidae
Description: Pfa-npcR6643
Source: RNAcentral
AAUAUUUUUUAUCAUGUUUUACCAGAUUUUCAU